RNAcentral lists this unclassified non-coding RNA (319 nucleotides) under uncultured fungus. Its description in RNAcentral is "sequence contains ITS2". Lineage: Eukaryota; Fungi. The record is from RNAcentral.
AACGCAUAUUGCACUCUCUGGUAUUCCGGGGAGUAUGCCUGUUUCAGUAUCAUUGAUCAUCUCAAAAUCAUAAAGGAUUUUGGAAUUUGAGCUUUGCCGGAAAAAAAAAUCGGCUGGCUUUAAACUUAGUCACAGCAAAGAACCGGGUUUUAUAAAUCGGGCCAAAAGCGUAAUAGUUGGCUUUUUUCAAAAGUCCAUCUUUCGCUGAAAGCCAGGUUUUUUUUGGUUCCUUGAUUUUUGUGCUUGCAGAGAAUAAAAAAAUAUAUAUAUAUUUUUUCAACUUGAUCUGAAAUCAGGUAGGAUUACCCGCUGAACUUAA